AUGCACACCAUCACAGAGGCCAUCGGCGGCACCUUCUCCUUCAUCGAGAACAAGGCUGUCAUCCAGGACUCUUUUGCGCAGUGCAUCUGUUGGCUUCUGUCGGUCGCCGUGUAGGAGGCGCGUAUCGCUGUCGAGUGCGUGUGUCCUGGCGUUCGCGCUCGGUCCAUCAAGUCAGGACGCUACAAGAGACGCGUUGACUCUGACGGGUGCACUGCCACAGUGGACGUCGGCGAGCUCUAUGCCAACAAGGAGAGGCGCUUCCUGCUUUCGGUGGAUGUGCCAACGGUCGGUGCCACGGACAACGUCAUGCCCCUGAUGAUGGUGAGCUGCACAUACCGCGACAUCGCGACCGAGUAG
RNAcentral lists this ribosomal RNA (357 nucleotides) under Triticum aestivum (bread wheat). RNAcentral describes it as "partial small subunit ribosomal RNA". The record is from RNAcentral. Lineage: Eukaryota; Viridiplantae; Streptophyta; Magnoliopsida; Poales; Poaceae.